This is a long non-coding RNA of Colletes gigas, 653 nucleotides long. RefSeq lists it as uncharacterized. The transcript has 3 exons. The record is from RefSeq and is a predicted model, not a curated record. NCBI's taxonomy places the organism in Eukaryota, Metazoa, Arthropoda, Insecta, Hymenoptera, Colletidae.
GGGAUAAUGCAUCUGCAUUGGAAUUGAUUUUCCCAGGUUUAUAGACCAUCUCAUAAUCGUAUUCGUUUAAUCUAAUACGCCAUCUCAUGAUACGGGAAGUGGGAUCUUUUACGUUGUGCAGCCAAAUCAGCGGUCGAUGCGUCAUUAAGGGUCCGAGAUGCAUACGCAAUUGGGAGAUCCUUUCCGAUCUGACCCUGACUCAAUACAGCUCCUACUGCAUAAUUAGAAGCAUCAGUUGUUACGAGGAAUGGCUGUUGAAAGUUGGGAAAUUGGAGCAACGGCUCCGAACAAAUGAUAUCACGUAAACUCUCGAAAGCGAAUUUGACAUCUUUACUCCAGACAAAAGGAAAUGACUUAACAGCCAUGAUCUUCCCGGGGUCUGGUUUCACUCCUUUGGCAGAGAUAACGUGACCCAAAUAGGCAACUUCUCGUCGCAAGAAUCGACAUUUCUCGGGUUUGUAACGUUAAAACCGGCAUUCUGCAACCGAGCCAAGAGAAUUCUCAAUUUACGAGUAUGCUCUUCCAAAGAAUCAGCAUAUAUGACGAUGUCGUCCAUAUAUACAAAAAGCUCGACUCCUUGUAAACCAACCAAAACCAAAUCCAUGCACCUCUGAAACGUGGCUGGAGCAUUUUUAAGCCCGAAGGGCAUAUUA